This 492-nucleotide ribosomal RNA is filed under the name uncultured bacterium. RNAcentral's name for it is "partial 16S ribosomal RNA". It matches the Rfam family "Bacterial small subunit ribosomal RNA", at positions 29 to 507 of the family's 1533-position model. The record is from RNAcentral.
AGUGAACGCUGGCGGUAGGCCUAACACAUGCGAGUCGAACGGCAGCACAGUAAGAGCUUGCUCUUACGGGUGGCGAGUGGCGGACGGGUGAGGAAUACAUCGGAAUCUACUUUUUCGUGAGGGAUAACGUAGGGAAACUUACGCUAAUACCGCAUACGACCUACGGGUGAAAGCAGGGGAUCUUCGGACCUUGCGCGAUUGAAUGAGCCGAUGUCGGAUUAGCUAGUUGGCGGGGUAAAGGCCCACCAAGGCGACGAUCCGUAGCUGGUCUGAGAGGAUGAUCAGCCACACUGGAACUGAGACACGGUCCAGACUCCUACGGGAGGCAGCAGUGGGGAAUAUUGGACAAUGGGCGCAAGCCUGAUCCAGCCAUACCGCGUGGGUGAAGAAGGCCUUCGGGUUGUAAAGCCCUUUUGUUGGGAAAGAAAAGCAGCAGGUUAAUACCCCGCUGUUCUGACGGUACCCAAAGAAUAAGCACCGGCUAACUUCGUG